This 400-nucleotide ribosomal RNA is filed under the name Olea europaea subsp. europaea. Its description in RNAcentral is "SSU_rRNA_microsporidia". It matches the Rfam family "Bacterial small subunit ribosomal RNA", at positions 367 to 783 of the family's 1533-position model. The record is from RNAcentral. Lineage: Eukaryota; Viridiplantae; Streptophyta; Magnoliopsida; Lamiales; Oleaceae.
CAAAAUAUGGGUGAAAGCCUGACGGAACAAUGCCACGUAGAGGUAGAAGGCCCACGGGUCGUGAACUUCUUUUCCCAAAGAAGAAGCAAUGACGGUAUCUGGGGAAUAAGCAUCGGCUAACUCUAUGCCAGCAGUCGCGAUAAGACAGAGGAUGCAAGCGUUAUCCGAAAUGAUUGGGCAUAAAGCAUCUGUAGUUGGCUUUUUAAGUUCGUCAUCAAAUCCCAGGGCUCAACCCUGGAUAGGGGCUGAAAACUACCAAGCUGGAGUACGGUAGGGGCAGAGGAAAUUUUCAGUGGAGCGGCGAAAUGCAUAGAGAUCAGAAAGAACACCAACGAUGAAAGCACUCUACUGGGCCGACACUGACACUGAGAGACGAAAGCUCGGGGCAAGUGGAUCAUUU